GUGCAGGCGGCAGCUACCAUGCAAGUCGAGCGGUAACAGAUCCAGCUUGCUGGAUGCUGACGAGCGGCGGACGGGUGAGUAAUGCAUAGGAAUCUGCCCGAUAGUGGGGGAUAACCUGGGGAAACCCAGGCUAAUACCGCAUACGUCCUACGGGAGAAAGGGGGCUUCGGCUCCCGCUAUCGGAUGAGCCUAUGUCGGAUUAGCUAGUUGGUGAGGUAACGGCUCACCAAGGCCACGAUCCGUAGCUGGUCUGAGAGGAUGAUCAGCCACAUCGGGACUGAGACACGGCCCGAACUCCUACGGGAGGCAGCAGUGGGGAAUAUUGGACAAUGGGGGGAACCCUGAUCCAGCCAUGCCGCGUGUGUGAAGAAGGCCCUCGGGUUGUAAAGCACUUUCAGCGAGGAAGAACGCCUAGCGGUUAAUACCCGCUAGGAAAGACAUCACUCGCAGAAGAAGCACCGGCUAACUCCGUGCCAGCAGCCGCGGUAAUACGGAGGGUGCAAGCGUUAAUCGGAAUUACUGGGCGUAAAGCGCGCGUAGGUGGCUUGAUAAGCCGGUUGUGAAAGCCCCGGGCUCAACCUGGGAACGGCAUCCGGAACUGUCAAGCUAGAGUGCAGGAGAGGAAGGUAGAAUUCCCGGUGUAGCGGUGAAAUGCGUAGAGAUCGGGAGGAAUACCAGUGGCGAAGGCGGCCUUCUGGACUGACACUGACACUGAGGUGCGAAAGCGUGGGUAGCAAACAGGAUUAGUCCC
Molecule: ribosomal RNA, 751 nt
Filed under: Vreelandella aquamarina
Lineage: Bacteria; Pseudomonadati; Pseudomonadota; Gammaproteobacteria; Oceanospirillales; Halomonadaceae
Description: bacterial SSU rRNA
Rfam family: Bacterial small subunit ribosomal RNA
Source: RNAcentral